CCUACGGGUGGCAGCAGUGAGGAAUAUUGGUCAAUGGGCGCGAGCCUGAACCAGCCAAGUAGCGUGAAGGAUGACUGCCCUACGGGUUGUAAACUUCUUUUAUAAAGGAAUAAAGUGAGGCACGUGUGCCUUUUUGUAUGUACUUUAUGAAUAAGGAUCGGCUAACUACGUGCCAGCAGCCGCGGUAAUACGGAGGAUCCGGGCGUUGUCCGGAUUUAUUGGGUUUAAAGGGAGCGUAGGUGGGUUGAUAAGUCAGUUGUGAAAGUUUGCGGCUCAAACGUAAAAUUGCAAUUGAGACUGGCAGCCUUGAGUACAGUAGAGGUAGGCGGAACUCGUGGUGUAGCGGUGAAAUGCUUAGAUAUCACGAAGAACUCCGAUGGCGAAGGCAGCCUACUAAACUGCCACUGACAUUGAUGCUCGAAAGUGUGGGUAUCAAACAGGAUUAGAUACCCGAGUAGUC
RNAcentral lists this ribosomal RNA (460 nucleotides) under uncultured bacterium. Its description in RNAcentral is "partial 16S ribosomal RNA". It matches the Rfam family "Bacterial small subunit ribosomal RNA", at positions 338 to 795 of the family's 1533-position model. The record is from RNAcentral.